GCGGAUGUGGCGGAAUUGGCAGACGCGUUAGAUUCAGGUUCUAAUGGAGGCAACUCCGUGCAGGUUCAAGUCCUGUUAUCCGCACCA
This 87-nucleotide transfer RNA is filed under the name Clostridiales bacterium. RNAcentral describes it as "tRNA-Leu". It matches the Rfam family "tRNA". From Rfam's summary of the family: Transfer RNA (tRNA) molecules are approximately 80 nucleotides in length. Their secondary structure includes four short double-helical elements and three loops (D, anti-codon, and T loops). Lineage: Bacteria; Bacillati; Bacillota; Clostridia; Eubacteriales. The record is from RNAcentral.